GACGAACGCUGGCGGCGUGCUUAACACAUGCAAGUCGAACGAGAAUCUGUGGAUCGAGGAUUCGUCCAAGUGAAGCAGAGGACAGUGGCGGACGGGUGAGUAACGCGUGAGGAACCUGCCUUUCAGAGGGGGACAACAGUUGGAAACGACUGCUAAUACCGCAUGAUACGUUUUAGGGGCAUCCCUGAGACGUCAAAGAUUUAUCGCUGAAAGAUGGCCUCGCGUCUGAUUAGCUGGUUGGUGAGGUAACGGCCCACCAAGGCGACGAUCAGUAGCCGGACUGAGAGGUUGACCGGCCACAUUGGGACUGAGAUACGGCCCAGACUCCUACGGGAGGCAGCAGUGGGGAAUAUUGGGCAAUGGGCGCAAGCCUGACCCAGCAACGCCGCGUGAAGGAAGAAGGCUUUCGGGUUGUAAACUUCUUUUAAGAGGGAAGAGCAGAAGACGGUACCUCUAGAAUAAGCCACGGCUAACUACGUG
Molecule: ribosomal RNA, 480 nt
Filed under: uncultured bacterium
Lineage: Bacteria
Description: bacterial SSU rRNA
Rfam family: Bacterial small subunit ribosomal RNA
Source: RNAcentral